GAUGAACGCUGGCGGCGUGCCUAAUACAUGCAAGUCGAGCGAACAGAUGAGGAGCUUGCUCCUCUGACGUUAGCGGCGGACGGGUGAGUAACACGUGGAUAACCUACCUAUAAGACUGGGAUAACUUCGGGAAACCGGAGCUAAUACCGGAUAAUAUAUUUAACCGCAUGGUUCAAUAGUGAAAGACGGUUUUGCUGUCACUUAUAGAUGGAUCCGCGCCGCAUUAGCUAGUUGGUAAGGUAACGGCUUACCAAGGCAACGAUGCGUAGCCGACCUGAGAGGGUGACCGGCCACACGGGAACUGAGACCCGGUCCAGCCUCCUACGGGAGGCAGCAGUAGGGAAUCUUCCGCAAUGGGCGAAAGCCUGACGGAGCAACGCCGCGUGGGUGAUGAGGGUCUUCGGAUCGUAAAACUCUGUUAUUAGGGAAGAACAAAUGUGUAAGUAACUAUGCACGUCUUGACGGUACCUAAUCAGAAAGCCACGGCUAACUACGUG
RNAcentral lists this ribosomal RNA (497 nucleotides) under uncultured bacterium. RNAcentral describes it as "partial 16S ribosomal RNA". It matches the Rfam family "Bacterial small subunit ribosomal RNA", at positions 28 to 507 of the family's 1533-position model. The record is from RNAcentral.